This 1577-nucleotide ribosomal RNA is filed under the name freshwater metagenome. RNAcentral's name for it is "bacterial LSU rRNA". It matches the Rfam family "Bacterial large subunit ribosomal RNA", at positions 1404 to 2925 of the family's 2925-position model. The record is from RNAcentral.
CCCACAAUAAACCGACCGUGACGAAUCAAUAAUGCUAAGUGUUUGAAGUUGGCUAGCAAUAGCUGAUGGAGCGCACGACCCAAGUUGGUAGUAGUCAAGCAAUGGAGAGACGCAGGAAGGUAGUCCAACCCAGGCGAUGGUUGACCUGGGGUAAGAGUGUAGGAGGUUCUGUAGGAAAAUCCGCAGAACAAUCUCUAAGACUUGAUGCCGAGCCGUAAGGCGAAGUGGAUGAUCCUAUGCUGCCAAGAAAAUCUUCUAGCGAGGUUUAUAGUGGCCCGUACCCGAAACCGACACAGGUGGUCAGGUAGAGAAUACCAAGGUGAUCGAGAGAAUCGUGGUGAAGGAACUCGGCAAAAUACCCCCGUAACUUCGGGAGAAGGGGGGCUAAUUUUUGUGUAGAGGUUUACCUUCGAAGCAUAAGUUAGACGCAGAGAAUAGGCUCAAGCGACUGUUUACCAAAAACACAGGUCCGUGCGAAGUUGCAAAACGAUGUAUACGGACUGACGCCUGCCCGGUGCUGGAAGGUUAAGGGGACUGGUUAGCUCUUCGGAGCGAAGCCGAGAACUUAAGCCCCAGUAAACGGCGGUGGUAACUAUAACCAUCCUAAGGUAGCGAAAUUCCUUGUCGGGUAAGUUCCGACCUGCACGAAUGGCGUAACGACUUGAGCGCUGUCUCCACCAUGAACUCGGCGAAAUUGCAGUACGAGUAAAGAUGCUCGUUACGCGCGGAAAGACGGAAAGACCCCGGGACCUUUACUAUAUCUUGAUAUUGGUACUCGGAACGUUCUGUGUAGCAUAGGUGGGAGACUUUGAAGCGGCACGCCAGUGUUCGUGGAGUCAAAAAUUGAAAUACCACUCUGAACGUUUUGAGUUUCUAACCUCGGCCCAUUAUCUGGGUCAGGGACAGUGUCUGGUGGGUAGUUUAACUGGGGCGGUUGCCUCCCAAAAAGUAACGGAGGCGCUCAAAGGUUCCCUCAACCUGGUUGGUAAUCAGGUGUCGAGUGUAAGUGCACAAGGGAGCUUAACUGUGAGACAGACAUGUCAAGCAGGUGCGAAAGCAGGAACUAGUGAUCCGGCGGUGGCUUGUGGAAGCGCCGUCGCUCAACGGAUAAAAGGUACCCCGGGGAUAACAGGCUGAUCUUGCCCAAGAGUCCAUAUCGACGGCAAGGUUUGGCACCUCGAUGUCGGCUCGUCUCAUCCUGGGGCUGGAGUAGGUCCCAAGGGUUGGGCUGUUCGCCCAUUAAAGAGGCACGCGAGCUGGGUUCAGAACGUCGUGAGACAGUUCGGUCCCUAUCUUCCGUGCGCGAAGGAAACUUGAGAAGGGCUGUCCCUAGUACGAGAGGACCGGGACGGACGAACCUCUUGUGUGUCGGUUGUUUCGCCAGAAGCACGGCCGAUUAGCAACGUUCGGAAGGGAUAACCGCUGAAAGCAUCUAAGCGGGAAGCUCGCUUCAAGAUUAGGUUUCCCACUGGUUUACCAGGUAAGACCCCCAAGAGACUAUUGGGUUGAUAGGCCGGAAGUGGAAGAGGCGCAAGCCUUGCAGCUGACCGGUACUAAUAGGUCGAGGAUUUAACUAC